This 72-nucleotide transfer RNA is filed under the name Camelus bactrianus (Bactrian camel). It matches the Rfam family "tRNA". From Rfam's summary of the family: Transfer RNA (tRNA) molecules are approximately 80 nucleotides in length. Their secondary structure includes four short double-helical elements and three loops (D, anti-codon, and T loops). The record is from Rfam by way of RNAcentral. RNAcentral also lists the same sequence under 2 other names. Lineage: Eukaryota; Metazoa; Chordata; Mammalia; Artiodactyla; Camelidae.
GGGGCAAUAGCUCAGUGGUAGAACACAUGCUUGGCAUGCAUGAGGUCCUGGGUUCUAACCCCAGUACCUCCA